GGAAACAAAACUAUGCAUUGUUGAGUCUGUCGGAGUGUGUUCUCAUACUUUCUGCGUGGAGGCUCCGGGGAAUCAUUUGGAGCAACGCCACGGGCCACCGAUGCCAGGAAUUCUUGCCUCUUCUGCUGCACCAGACGGGCGGCGCUGAUUAUCUUGUGGCAGGGUGUCCUCAGGAAGAAGCCGUAAGGGUAAGAGCACUUCAGCACACGACGCGUCUUCAGGAGCUCACACACACCGUCCUCAAUGAAACGCGUGUCUGGAGGAGUACCUUCACCUGGACAGAAAAAACACACAAGUCAUCUCCUUGGACUGCUCCUCGAGCUGUUGGAUGACCUCGUAGCGAGUGCAGCGGUAAUAGCCUCCUGUUGACGAGCUGUGCUUCUUCCACUCCUCCAGACAGAUCCAACAGAAGUCAUACUUACACUACAGAGAGAGAUAGUUAAUUUUACAAUCCUCACCCAAAUACAGCACAGUAUGAAAUAAAAAUAAAGACUUAUUCAUAGUCAGUGAUCAGACAAACAGCUGACAGAG
Long non-coding RNA from Notolabrus celidotus (New Zealand spotty), 531 nucleotides. RefSeq lists it as uncharacterized. Lineage: Eukaryota; Metazoa; Chordata; Actinopteri; Labriformes; Labridae. The record is from RefSeq and is a predicted model, not a curated record. The transcript is spliced from 3 exons.